UGUCCCUGGCCUUGGUAGAGUGGCAUCUACUUAAUGAUGUUUAUCUCAUAUCAGCCAGGGACAAAGCAACCCUUGUUUACUCAACUUGGCUUCUGGUCUGGGCCAUGCCUGGUUCAUGACUUGGACACAUGG
RNAcentral lists this small nucleolar RNA (132 nucleotides) under Carlito syrichta (Philippine tarsier). RNAcentral describes it as "Small nucleolar RNA SNORA48 (ENSTSYG00000022922.2)". It matches the Rfam family "Small nucleolar RNA SNORA48". From Rfam's summary of the family: The snoRNA ACA 48 has been identified to guide pseudouridylation of the residue U3797 in the 28S rRNA subunit. Its host gene EIF4A1 (eukaryotic translation initiation factor 4A1) is shared with U67 and snoRNA mgU6-77 Lineage: Eukaryota; Metazoa; Chordata; Mammalia; Primates; Tarsiidae. The record is from Rfam by way of RNAcentral.